CCAGAGCCCCAACUCCUUCCCUACUCACCUCCCAGAGCCCCAACUCCUUCCUCACUCACCUCCCAGAGCNNNNNNNNNNAGCCCCAACUCCUUCCUCACUCACCUCCCAGAGCCCCAACUCCUUCCCCACUCACCUCCCAGAGCCCCAACUCCUUCCCUACUCACCUCCCAGAGCCCCAACUCCUUCCCUACUCACCUCCCAGAGCCCCAGCUCCCUCCUCACUCGCCUCCCUGCCUCCCACAGGUAUUUCUGCAUAAAUACAAGAGGAAAGAGGAGGAAGACUCCACUCUGCCGGACAAGAAAUCAGCCUUCUCCAAGGGGCUGCUCUCCAGCCAGAAGCUGUCUUACCAGAACGGCCACACUGGGAGCCUCUUCUCCUCCUCCUCCUCCUCCUCCUCCUCCUCGUCCCCAUCCUCCUCCUGCCCGUCCUCCCCUCCGGCCGUGUCCGGCUCCGCUCUGUGCGUCGGCUCCCCCUGCGACGUCUCCCUCCGCAUCGUGGUGGCAGAGCCGGAGCCGGGCGCUCCUGGCCGGGGGAUCUGCCUGGACCUGGCCAUCCUGGACAGCGCUUUCCUCCUCUCCCAGGUGGUGCCCUCGCUCCUCAUGGGCUCCAUCGUCCAGUUCACCCAGUCCGUCACGGCCUACAUGGUGUCGGCUGCCGGGCUCGGCCUGGUCGCCAUCUACUUCGCAACCAAAGUUGUCUUUGACAAGGGUGACAUGGCCAAGUGCUCCGUGUGACAGCAGGGCAGCCUCGGGGCUGGCAGUGCCAGCUCUGUGUGUGUGAGUGCCCACAGGGCCACUUGUGGGGUGCCUGGCGUGGCACCGGCCGUCCCCAGGCUGCUGCUGUCACCCCAGGGUGGCUCUGGGGCUGGGGCAGCACGGGGUUAAUCUCAGGUGUAAAUAAGAGGCUUUGGGGCGUUGUCCUCAGGGCCUGAAGGGCUUCCCAAAGGUGCCUUUAGCAGAGGGGCACAGCAGCACCAAAGGGGUUCUGCAGAGGGGAGAAGGGAAUUGGGGUUUCCCUCUGAUAACGGGUCGUGUUCCUGAGCAGGAGCAGCACAGGGAGGGGAUCAGCCACUGCCUGCUCUCCUCUCCUCCUCCUCUCCUCUCCCUCUCCUCUCC
This 1117-nucleotide long non-coding RNA is filed under the name Chloebia gouldiae (Gouldian finch). Its description in RNAcentral is "Erythrura gouldiae (Gouldian finch) lncRNA (ENSEGOG00005010751.1)". The record is from RNAcentral. Lineage: Eukaryota; Metazoa; Chordata; Aves; Passeriformes; Passeridae.